This 150-nucleotide unclassified non-coding RNA is filed under the name soil metagenome. Its description in RNAcentral is "partial internal transcribed spacer 1". The record is from RNAcentral.
CCGAGUUAUACAACUCAUCAACCCUGUGAACAUACCUAAAACGUUGCCUCGGCGGAUCAGCCCGCGCCCCGUAAAACGGGACGGCCCGCCGCAGGAAACCCUAAACUCUGUUUUUAGUGGAACUUCUGAGUAUAAAAAACAAAUAAAUCA